This 334-nucleotide ribosomal RNA is filed under the name uncultured eukaryote. Its description in RNAcentral is "partial 18S ribosomal RNA". It matches the Rfam family "Eukaryotic small subunit ribosomal RNA", at positions 1470 to 1796 of the family's 1831-position model. The record is from RNAcentral.
CCCUUAGAUGUCCGGGGCCGCACGCGCGCUACACUGAAGGAAUCAGCGUGGCUUUCUCCCUGACCCGAAAGGGUUGGGAAACCCGUUGAAUCUCCUUCGUGAUAGGGAUUGGGGCUUGAAAUUGUUCCCCAUGAACGAGGAAUUCCCAGUAAGCGCGAGUCAUAAGCUCGCGUUGAUUACGUCCCUGCCCUUUGUACACACCGCCCGUCGCUACUACCGAUUGAACGGUUUAGUGAGGGCCUCGGAUUGGUCUCGGCCCGCUCUUUACCGGGCGGCGCCGUUGGUCGUGAAGACGCUCGAACUUGAUCGUUUAGAGGAAGUAAAAGUCGUAACA